RNAcentral lists this ribosomal RNA (383 nucleotides) under uncultured eukaryote. RNAcentral describes it as "partial 18S ribosomal RNA". It matches the Rfam family "Eukaryotic small subunit ribosomal RNA", at positions 592 to 976 of the family's 1831-position model. The record is from RNAcentral.
CAAUAGCGUAUAUUAAAGUUGUUGCAGUUAAAAAGCUCGUAGUUGGAUUUCUGGUGGGAGCGAUCGGUCUGGCGCUUAGCGCGAGUACUUGCAUCGUCUCCGGCCAUCCUUGGGGAGAGUCUGUCUGGCAUUAAGUUGUCGGGCAGAGGAUCCUCAUCGUUUACUGUGAAAAAAUUAGAGUGUUCAAAGCAGGCUUAUGCCGUUGAAUAUAUUAGCAUGGAAUAAUAAGAUAGGACUUUGGUACUAUUUUGUUGGUUUGCGCACCAAAGUAAUGACUAAUAGGGACAGUUGGGGGUAUUCGUAUUCCGUUGUCAGAGGUGAAAUUCUUGGAUUUACGGAAGACGAACUACUGCGAAAGCAUUUACCAAGGAUGUUUUCAUUAA